CAGAUUAUAGCUUAUAUUAAAGUUUAUUAUUUACAUUAAUAAGAAAAUUAUUUAUUUUAUCUGA
Molecule: transfer RNA, 64 nt
Filed under: Atkinsoniella thalia
Lineage: Eukaryota; Metazoa; Arthropoda; Insecta; Hemiptera; Cicadellidae
Description: tRNA-Val
Source: RNAcentral